UGUGUAGGUGGUGCUCUAAGUUUGGUGUGAAAUCUCCCGGCUUAACUGGGAGGGUGCGCCGAAAACUGGAGUGCUUGAGUAUGGGAGAGGUAAGCGGAAUUCCUGGUGUAGCGGUGAAAUGCGUAGAUAUCAGGAGGAACACCUGUGGUGUAGACAGCUUGCUGGACCAUCACUGACACUGAGACACGAAAGCGUGGGUAGCAAACAGGAUUAGAUACCCUGGUAGUCCACGCCCUAAACGAUGCAUACUUGGUGUGAGCCAUUCAUUUGGUUCGUGCCGGAGCUAACGCGUUAAGUAUGCCGCCUGGGGAGUACGGUCGCAAGGCUGAA
This 330-nucleotide ribosomal RNA is filed under the name uncultured bacterium. RNAcentral describes it as "bacterial SSU rRNA". It matches the Rfam family "Bacterial small subunit ribosomal RNA", at positions 568 to 898 of the family's 1533-position model. The record is from RNAcentral.